GGGCUCUUAGCUCAGUUGGUAGAGCAGCGGACUCUUAAUCCGUAGGUCGCGUGUUCGAGUCACGCAGGGCCCACCA
RNAcentral lists this transfer RNA (76 nucleotides) under Rubrivivax sp. RNAcentral describes it as "tRNA-Lys". It matches the Rfam family "tRNA". Rfam says of the family: Transfer RNA (tRNA) molecules are approximately 80 nucleotides in length. Their secondary structure includes four short double-helical elements and three loops (D, anti-codon, and T loops). Further hydrogen bonds mediate the characteristic L-shaped molecular structure. tRNAs have two regions of fundamental functional importance: the anti-codon, which is responsible for specific mRNA codon recognition, and the 3' end, to which the tRNAs corresponding amino acid is attached (by aminoacyl-tRNA synthetases). tRNAs cope with the degeneracy of the genetic code in two manners: having more than one tRNA (with a specific anti-codon) for a particular amino acid; and 'wobble' base-pairing, i.e. permitting non-standard base-pairing at the 3rd anti-codon position. The record is from RNAcentral. Lineage: Bacteria; Pseudomonadati; Pseudomonadota; Betaproteobacteria; Burkholderiales; Sphaerotilaceae. RNAcentral also lists the same sequence under 1 other name.